Molecule: ribosomal RNA, 481 nt
Filed under: uncultured bacterium
Lineage: Bacteria
Description: bacterial SSU rRNA
Rfam family: Bacterial small subunit ribosomal RNA
Source: RNAcentral
AACGAACGCUGGCGGCGUGGAUAAGACAUGCAAGUCGAACGCUAAUUCAAGGGUAGCAAUAUUCUUGAGUUGGAGUGGCGCAAGGGUGCGUAACGCGUGGGUAAUUUGCCGUGAAGCUCGGAAUAACUCGCUGAAAGGCGAGCUAAUACCGGAUGUGAUUUUUGGAAGGCAUCUUCUGAAUCUUAAAGCUGGGGACCGCAAGGCCUGGCACUUCACGAUAAGCCCGCGACCUAUCAGCUAGUUGGUGAGGUAAAGGCUCACCAAGGCUAAGACGGGUAGCUGGUCUGAGAGGACGACCAGCCACACUGGAACUGAGAGACGGUCCAGACACCUACGGGUGGCAGCAGUCGAGAAUUUUCUCAAUGGGCGAAAGCCUGAAGGAGCGACGCCGCGUGGGGGAUGAAUGGCUUCGGCCGUAAACCCCUGUCAUUUGCGACAAACCUUUUCAUUAAACAGAUGAAGAGCUGAUUGUAGCGAAAGA